RNAcentral lists this ribosomal RNA (322 nucleotides) under uncultured eukaryote. Its description in RNAcentral is "partial 18S ribosomal RNA". It matches the Rfam family "Eukaryotic small subunit ribosomal RNA", at positions 1470 to 1796 of the family's 1831-position model. The record is from RNAcentral.
CCCUUAGAUGUUCUGGGCCGCACGCGUGCUACACUGAGUAAUUCAAUGGGUAAGGGAACGCUAGAGCAUUACCUAAUCUUGAAAUUUGCUCGUGAUGGGGAUCGACGGUUGCAAUUUUCCGUCGUGAACGAGGAAUACCUUGUAGGCGCAUGUCAUCAUCAUGCGCCGAAUACGUCCCUGCCCUUUGUACACACCGCCCGUCGCUCCUACCGAUUGAGUGAUCCGGUGAGGCUCUGGGACCUGGACGGAAAGAGCGUUUCGCUUGUUCUGUUUGGGAAACUUGGUCGAACCUUAUCAUUUAGAGGAAGGAGAAGUGGUAACA